AUAUGGAGACAGCUUUGGCGGGUUGUUGAACGAUGUGAUUUGCUUGUGAUGGUUGUUGAUGCCCGAGACCCUUUAUUCUACCGCUGCCCUGACCUGGAGGCAUAUGCAAGAGAGAUUGAUCAGCACAAAAGGACAAUGCUUCUUGUCAACAAGGCAGAUCUGCUGCCUUAUUCUGUCAGGAAGAAAUGGGCAGAAUAUUUCUGUCAGCAUGAUAUAUUAUAUCUGUUUUGGUCUGCUAAAGCUGCUUCUGCCGCUCUGGAAGGGAAAAAACUUGGCAGCCGGUGGAACACAGAUGAACCCCAGAAUGGUGUGGUGGAUCCUGAUACAAAAAUAUAUGCUCGGGAUGAGCUUCUGGCUCGUUUACAGUAUGAGGCCGAACAGAUUGUCGAGAGGAGGACAACAUCAAGCACUAACUCUACAAGUCGGUUAGACAAUCUUUCUCUAGGAGGAAAUAUGAAUGAAAAAUUGUCAGGGAGCGUCAUGGUGGGAUUUGUUGGGUAUCCAAAUGUGGGAAAGAGCUCAACAAUUAAUGCUUUAGUUGGUCAAAAACGAGCAGGAGUCACCUCUACGCCAGGGAAGACAAAGCACUUCCAAACAUUGAUUAUUUCUGACAAGCUUACGCUAUGUGACUGCCCUGGUUUAGUGUUUCCUUCAUUUUCAAGCUCGAGAUACGAAAUGAUUGCUUAUGGAGUAUUGCCUAUUGAUCGAAUGACAGAGCACAGAGAGGCUAUUCAGGUUGUUGCCAAUCGAGUCCCAAGGCAUGUGAUUGAGGAUGUGUACAAGAUCAAUUUGCCAAAACCAAAACCUUAUGAGCCACAGUCUCGACCACCCCUAGCAUCAGAACUUUUGAAAGCGUAUUGCGUCUCCCGCGGUUAUGUAGCAUCUAGUGGGCUGCCUGAUGAAACUAGAGCUUCCCGCCAAAUUUUGAAGGAUUACGUUGAUGGAAAGAUUCCCCACCAUGAAUUGCCCCCAGGAAUGUCCAAUGAGGAUCAUAUCCAGGAAGAAGAUGCUGGGACUCUCGAGCUCUCCGAUACACGCGAUUCAGACUCGGAUAAUGUUGAAGAUUCAAAUGCGGAUGGUGAAAAUGCCCCUGGUUUUGAACAGGUGGCUGAUUAUCUUGAUUCAUUUGACCUAGCUAAUGGACUUGCCAAGCCAAGCAUCAGUGAAAAGAAGCCUAAGGCAUCUCAUAAACACCACAAGAAGCCACAGCGAAAAAAGGAUCGGACAUGGCGGAUCGGAAAUGAUGGUGGUGAUGGUAUGCCUGCGGUGAGAGUCUUGCAGAAACCAAUAAACUCAGGCCCCGUGAAAGUAGUUCCAUGAGGUUAGUUGAUGUAUGUAUCUAUAUGAACGUUGAAGGCUGAGUUUUGCAUCUUGUUAAUUUAGAAACACUGGAGGGGGAGAAACAAGGCAAUGAAAAUGGAAAUGGUUAAAACGAGGAUGUGUAUUUUUCCUAACCUAAGUGUGACUAUGUAAAUUAUUACUGUUCUUUCAUGGGUUGUGAAAU
RNAcentral lists this unclassified non-coding RNA (1504 nucleotides) under Hevea brasiliensis (rubber tree). The record is from RNAcentral. Lineage: Eukaryota; Viridiplantae; Streptophyta; Magnoliopsida; Malpighiales; Euphorbiaceae.